Camelina sativa (false flax) is the source of this 298-nucleotide non-coding RNA. The record is from RefSeq and is a predicted model, not a curated record. NCBI's taxonomy places the organism in Eukaryota, Viridiplantae, Streptophyta, Magnoliopsida, Brassicales, Brassicaceae.
CUUGCGAUUCCUUUAAGCUUCCAGAUUGUCUUUUCUCAGAAUCGCGAUUCUGCCAUGCUUCCAUGCGAUUCCGGUCGCUUCUGAUUUCGUUUCCGAUUCAGAGUCGGGAAUUGACGGACGGUCUACCGAUGCUUCCGUAAAAACCGCUGGUUAAAUGGUGUGUCUCUCUGGGAAAGCGGUCCAAGGCUUAAAUCAAAGGCUAAAACCGCAUGUGCGUUUUUGUUUUUGUUUUUUUUGGAAAAAUGCAAAUAAUAAAAAAACUUAUGAUUGGUGUAAGGAAAGCGGUUUUCAUAUAAAA